AACACAUGCAAGUCGAACGGAAACGAAACUAGCUUGCUAGUAGGCGUCGAGUGGCGGACGGGUGAGUAACGCGUAGGAAUCUGCCUGAUAGUGGGGGAUAGCCCGAAGAAAUUCGGAUUAAUACCGCAUAAUCUAUUCGUAGUAAAGUGGGGGACUUUCGAGCCUCACGCUAUCAGAUGAGCCUGCGUAAGAUUAGCUUGUUGGUAGGGUAAAAGCCUACCAAGGCAACGAUCUUUAGCUGGUCUGAGAGGAUGAUCAGCCACAUCGGGACUGAGACACGGCCCGAACUCCUACGGGAGGCAGCAGUGGGGAAUAUUGGACAAUGGGGGCAACCCUGAUCCAGCAAUACCGCGUGUGUGAAGAAGGCCUGAGGGUUGUAAAGCACUUUCAAUUGUGAAGAAAAGUUAACGGUUAAUAACCGUUGACCUUGACGUUAACUUUAGAAGAAGCACCGGCUAACUCCGUGCCAGCAGCCGCGGUAAUACGGAGGGUGCAAGCGUUAAUCGGAAUUACUGGGCGUAAAGCGUGCGUAGGCGGUUUAUUAAGUCAGAUGUGAAAGCCCCGGGCUUAACCUGGGAACUGCAUUUGAAACUGGUCAACUAGAGUAUGGUAGAGGAAAGUGGAAUUUCUGGUGUAGCGGUGAAAUGCGUAGAUAUCAGAAGGAACAUCAAUGGCGAAGGCAGCUUUCUGGACCAAUACUGACGCUGAGGUACGAAAGCGUGGGUAGCAAACAGGAUUAGAUACCCUGGUAGUCCACGCCGUAAACGAUGAUAACUAGCCGUUGGGGGGAUUUACCCCUUAGUGGCGAAGCUAACGCGUUAAGUUAUCCGCCUGGGGAGUACGGCCGCAAGGCUAAAACUCAAAGGAAUUGACGGGGACCCGCACAAGCGGUGGAGCAUGUGUUUAAUUCGAUGCAACGCGAAGAACCUUACCUGGUCUUGACAUCCUGCGAACUUUCUAGAAAUAGAUUGUGCCUUCGGGACGCAGUGACAGGUGCUGCAUGCUGUCGUCAGCUCGUGUCGUGAGAUGUGGAUAGUCCCGUACGAGCGCACCCCUAUCUUAUUUGCAGCACAUAUGGUGACUAUAGAGACUGCGGUGAUAACCGGAGAGCGGACGACGUCAGUCAUCAUGGUCUUACGAACAGGCUACCACGUGCUACAAUGGAAGAACAAAGGCCGCGAACGCCCAAGGGUACUAUCUCUAACCUUUUCCUGAAUCCGCAAUUGAGAUUUUGAAAAUUCGAACUCCACCGA
This 1253-nucleotide ribosomal RNA is filed under the name uncultured Gammaproteobacteria bacterium. RNAcentral describes it as "partial 16S ribosomal RNA". It matches the Rfam family "Bacterial small subunit ribosomal RNA", at positions 50 to 1324 of the family's 1533-position model. The record is from RNAcentral. Lineage: Bacteria; Pseudomonadati; Pseudomonadota; Gammaproteobacteria.